RNAcentral lists this ribosomal RNA (253 nucleotides) under uncultured bacterium. RNAcentral describes it as "partial 16S ribosomal RNA". It matches the Rfam family "Bacterial small subunit ribosomal RNA", at positions 524 to 776 of the family's 1533-position model. The record is from RNAcentral.
UACGAAGGGUGCAAGCGUUACUCGGAAUUACUGGGCGUAAAGCGUGCGUAGGUGGUUCGUUAAGUCUGAUGUGAAAGCCCUGGGCUCAACCUGGGAAUGGCAUUGGAUACUGGCGACCUAGAGUGCGGUAGAGGGUGGCGGAAUUCCCGGUGUAGUGGUGAAAUGCGCAGAUAUCAGGAAGAACACCUAUGGCGAAGGCAGCUCUCUGGGACGGUACUGACGCUGAGACGCGAAAGCGUGGGGAGCGAACAGG